UUGUUGAUCACCUGAUCACUGCUCUUCCAUUAGGUCAAAGAGAGAAACAGAAAAGGAGAAAUUUCUUAUGACACCAAAACAUAUUGUGGUAGCAAUCUGGUAACAUAUGAAUGUUGUGGCUUGAAGUGAAGCGAAUCAGUACCGACACUCGUGACUCUUUAUUGUUUUCUAGCUCUUCGUGGCCAGUAGAAGUAAGAAACAUGUAGCAGGUCCACGACAACAGAAUUAAACCAUUCACGGGUGCAUCCAAAACCUGUGGUUCAGAACAAAAAAAAAUUAUGGUUGCAGUCUCUCUCGCGAGUGGACAAAUCGACUUUUAAAACUCGCGUGACCCAUUUUUUAAACACACCUUGAGAGGUAAUAAUAGAU
Molecule: long non-coding RNA, 369 nt
Filed under: Populus trichocarpa (black cottonwood)
Lineage: Eukaryota; Viridiplantae; Streptophyta; Magnoliopsida; Malpighiales; Salicaceae
Description: long non-coding RNA (PTRI_LNC002135)
Source: RNAcentral